This 636-nucleotide ribosomal RNA is filed under the name uncultured bacterium. RNAcentral describes it as "bacterial SSU rRNA". It matches the Rfam family "Bacterial small subunit ribosomal RNA", at positions 138 to 762 of the family's 1533-position model. The record is from RNAcentral.
GGGGGAUAACUAUUGGAAACGAUAGCUAAUACCGCAUAAGAGUAGAUGUUGCAUGACAUUUGCUUAAAAGGUGCAAUUGCAUCACUACCAGAUGGACCUGCGUUGUAUUAGCUAGUUGGUGGGGUAACGGCUCACCAAGGCGACGAUACAUAGCCGACCUGAGAGGGUGAUCGGCCACACUGGGACUGAGACACGGCCCACACUCCUACGGGAGGCAGCAGUAGGGAAUCUUCGGCAAUGGACGGAAGUCUGACCGAGCAACGCCGCGUGAGUGAAGAAGGUUUUCGGAUCGUAAAGCUCUGUUGUAAGAGAAGAACGAGUGUGAGAGUGGAAAGUUCACACUGUGACGGUAUCUUACCAGAAAGGGACGGCUAACUACGUGCCAGCAGCCGCGGUAAUACGUAGGUCCCGAGCGUUGUCCGGAUUUAUUGGGCGUAAAGCGAGCGCAGGCGGUUAGAUAAGUCUGAAGUUAAAGGCUGUGGCUUAACCAUAGUACGCUUUGGAAACUGUUUAACUUGAGUGCAAGAGGGGAGUGUGGAAUUCCAUGUGUAGCGGUGAAAUGCGUAUAUAUAUGGAGGAACACCGGUGGCGAAAGCGACUCUCUGGCUUGUAACUGACGCUGAGGCUCGAAAGCGU